This 502-nucleotide ribosomal RNA is filed under the name uncultured bacterium. RNAcentral's name for it is "partial 16S ribosomal RNA". It matches the Rfam family "Bacterial small subunit ribosomal RNA", at positions 29 to 507 of the family's 1533-position model. The record is from RNAcentral.
AGCGAACGCUGGCGGCGUGCCUAACACAUGCAAGUCGAACGUGAAAGGGAGCAAUCCCCAGUAAAGUGGCGUACGGGUGAGUAACACGUAGGUAAUCUACCCCAGAAUCUGGAAUAACCGGCCGAAAGGCUGGCUAAUACUGGAUAGAGCGACGGAAUCCGUAAUUGGGUUUUUCGGGAAAGGGAGCCUGUAAAAAGGCCUUCGUUCUGGGAUGAGCCUGCGUCCCAUCAGCUAGUUGGUGAGGUAAAAGCUUACCAAGGCAAUGACGGGUAGCUGGUCUGGGAGGACGGUCAGCCAAACUGGGACUGAAGCACGGUCCAGGAUCCUACGGGGGGCAGCAGUGGGGGAUCUUGCGCAAUGGACGGAAGUCUGAAGGAGCAACGCCGGGUGGGUGAAGGAGGCCUUCGGGUUGUAAAGCUCUGUCGAGUGGGACGAAAAUGCUUGGAGUUCACAGCUGCAGGAACUGACGGUACCACUAAAGGAAGCACCGGCUAACUCCGUG